UAGUGACAGUCUCUUUAUUACCCCAAAUCCGAGAUUUAAGAAGGCAGGGCGGUCUCGCAUUGACUUCUGGGAAAUGUAGUUUUUUUUGAUGUGCCGACGCGUUCUGUUGGCGAUAGAAACUACAGUCCCCAGGAGCCACUGCGACGUUACCUGUAGCGGCCUUCGAGCCAACGGUUAGAGCGGACGGACGGAGGUUGAUAACGUCGACUUGAUAAUGGAUUCUGAAUUAAUGCAUAGUAUAGUAGGAAGCUAUCUUAAACCUCCAGAAAGAGUUUUUAUUCCAUCAUUUAUCCAGAAUGAUGAAUCAUCUCAGACUCACCACUGUGCAAACUUAGAAGCUACCUCUCCUAAAAUGCUUCAUAGUCCAAAUAGCCAAGCUCUUAUUUUAGCCUUAAAAACCCUUCAGGAAAAGAUUCAUCGUUUAGAAUUGGAGAGAACACAAGCUGAGGAUAACCUAAACAUUCUUUCCAGAGAGGCAGCACAGUAUAAAAAGGCCUUGGAGAAAGAAACACAUGAAAGAAAUCUGGCACACCAGGAACUGAUAAAGCAGAAAAAAGAUAUUACUAUACAGUUAAGCUCAGCUCAGUCUCGCUGUACUCUUCUAGAGAAGCAACUGGAAUAUACAAAGAGAAUGGUUCUUAAUGUAGAACGAGAGAAGAAUAUGAUCCUAGAACAACAGGCCCAGCUUCAAAGGGAAAAAGAACAAGAUCAUAGGAAGCUGCAAGCAAAACUUGAAAAUCUUGAUAUCUUAGAAAAAGAAUGUUUUAAACUUACAACCACUCAGAAAACUGCUGAGGACAAGAUUAAACAUUUAGAGGAAAAACUUAAGGAAGAAGAACAUCAGCGUAAGCUAUUUCAAGACAAAGCAUCUGAACUUCAGACUGGACUUGAAAUCAGUAGAAUUUUAAUGUCUUCAGUAUCAAAUCCAAAACACUGCAAGGAGAAGAAGAAGUCUUUGAAGAAAACUAGAUGUUUAAAGGGAGGACCACCUCAGCAAAUUCAUUCAAAGUUUGGAUCACUGCCUGUUGUGGCUGAGAAGUCUGCCAGUGCGAACUAUUCUGUGAAUGCAAGUAUGCAAAGCCUCCUGCAGUUGAUGAAACAUUACGGGCCACAUAACUGUCAGAAACUUACUGAAGUUACGGAGCCUCGAUGUCUCUACAAGCCUACUAGAACAACUUUCCAGGGUAAAGCUGAACCUUCUGAUUCAAAAAAUUCCAUUUCUAUUGGUGACAAUUUGUCUGAACUUGUGAUGGCAAUGCAGGAUGAGCUGGACCAAAUGAGUAUGGAGCAUAAAGAACUACUGAAUCAAAUGAAGGAAACUGAAAGUCAUUCAGUCUGUGAAGACAUAGAAUGUGAACUAGAACAUUUAGUCAAGAAAAUGGAAAUUAAAGGAGAACAAAUUUCCAAACUGUUGAAGCAUCAAGACAAUGUCCGUAAACUGCAGCAAAAAGUUCAAAACUCAAAGAUGAGUGAAGCUUCGGGUGUUCAGAGAGAAGAGAGCAACCUUAAAGGAUCAAAGAACAUAAAAAAUAGUCCCAGAAAAUGUUUGCUAACUAACUCUCUUCAGAAGAACAGCAAUUUUCAUCCAGUACAAGUCCAUAAUCUUCAAAUGAAAUUGAGAAGAGAUGAUAUCAUGUGGGAACAGUAACACAAUAGUAAAACUGUCACCUUAAAUGAACUCUGUCAGUGAGAUCUUGAAUUGUCUAAAGUGGUUUUAAUAUACCUUUAUGAAAUUCUGAAUUAUGUUUCUAGUCCCUAUAAAGUGUCAAGUUGUAGUAUUUUUAAAUUAAUGCCUAAUGGGGCACCUGGGUGGCUCAGUCGGUUAAGCGACUGCCUUCGGCUCAGGUCAUGAUCCUGGAGUCCCGGGAUCGAGUCCCGCAUCGGGCUCCCUGCUCAGCGGGGAGUCUGCUUCUCCCUCGGACCCUCCCCCCUCUCAUGCUCUCUCUCUCUCUAUCUCAUUCUCUCUCUCAAAUAAAUAAAUAAAAUCUUAAAAAAAAUUAAUGCCUAAUGACCUCCUAAGAGUCACAAAUAAUAAAUGACUGCAUUUUUUCUCUUACUGACUGAAAUACCUAAUCUGUUCAUGUUUUAGACACAUUGUUCACUUUGCAGAUCACUUAAGCUAAGUCUAAGAAAUUAUACUGGAUUGGUGAUACUUAAAAUUGAGUUAAAUUUUGAGACUCAAGUACCAUUCCCCUUUUUCAUUUAGUAGGCUUGUAACCUUAAGAACCAAUGUAAAAUGAACACAGUAAUGAAAGGUCUUUUACCUUUCAUGGUGCUUCCUCCCUAUCUUAUUUUAGAGCUAUGAAAUGUUUUUCUUUUUUGGAAAUUUAAGAGCUCUGUAAAGAGCUCGAGUUUUUAUGUGACAAUUACAAAUAGGAACUCGUAGUUAUUUAAUUUUUAGAUGACAGUAACUCAAGUACAGAAGCCUUUUUCUGCAAUUCCUGUUCCUUUUACAAAUCCAGGGCUGCUUUUUAACAUGAGUGACUUAUCUUAUCCCUUUAUAACUAAAACUUUUGAUGAGUUUUAGUCUUUGCAUUAUAUAUAUAAUCAUCAGUAUAAAUUGAGAAUGUGACUAUCCAGUACCCACUUUUAUAGCAAAGUAUAGGAAAAAUAAAUUGGACAUUUUAUUACCUAUCCAGUAAAAAUUCAGAGGAAUAUGAUACAUUUUAAAAAUAUUUUUAAAUCAGUGAUGUCAUAAGCAAUUUCUUUGUUUAUGUAUACUUUAUAAUAAAUUUACACUUGUUGACCUAUCUUUUAAGAAACCUAUGGAAACUGGUAUGACUCUUUUGAACUUUUUUGGUUUUUCACUGAAAUCCUUCGGGGCAACUAGAGAAUUGAAAUCCUCAACUGAAAUAGAAAUAGAAGACUGACAGAAAAGCCAUAGUAGAAGGGAGGAACUCAGAAGCUAGGAUAGCAGUUUAAGAGAUCAUGAUUCCAAAGGCACAGAGUUGGAAGUAUAUUUAUCUAUAGCUGGGGGAAUAAUCAAGCUACAAGUAUGAAAGAAUUUUCAGGGCAAGAUCUGGGGGAGUUAGGAAAAGCAAUUAUGUUGAAGACAAUCCUCCUAGGAAAAUCCCCAACAGUAUGUAGGAGAAAGGGGGUAAUUGUGGAACUUCUGGUGAGGGAAGAAGAAAACUCUGAUUCAUUCUCACUGAGAGAAGAGAUGUUAUGUUAGAGGACCUUUCCAAACCCGAAGUGGGGAAAUAACUGAAAAUGGGCAGAUGGAUACUUGGAAUUAUCCUUGAAAGUAACAUGAUAGAGAUGAAAGAUUCUCUCUGGUUUAAGUACUGCAUGUGUCUUUCACCCACUCUUCUUCCCUCUCCCUCUACAGCUUCUUCAGCCCCAGAGAUGUUGCACAGAGCGCUUCAUCUAAAUUCAUUUUCAUCACCUUACCUUUUCAACUUUGCCUUUCCGCCUCAAGAAUCUACUGAACUAAAAACGUGUCCUGCUCGCAGACUGCUGCUUGCCAGAGCCUUUGACUCCUCAGGGGGUGGAGCAAAUGAUUUCCUUCCUGGACAGGGG
Molecule: RNA transcript, 3519 nt
Organism: Zalophus californianus (California sea lion)
Lineage: Eukaryota; Metazoa; Chordata; Mammalia; Carnivora; Otariidae
Gene: CEP57L1
Gene name: centrosomal protein 57 like 1
Exons: 12
Source: RefSeq, a predicted model, not a curated record